RNAcentral lists this ribosomal RNA (397 nucleotides) under Cytauxzoon sp. wild cat. Its description in RNAcentral is "SSU rRNA". It matches the Rfam family "Eukaryotic small subunit ribosomal RNA", at positions 453 to 881 of the family's 1831-position model. The record is from RNAcentral. Lineage: Eukaryota; Apicomplexa; Aconoidasida; Piroplasmida; Theileriidae.
GACACAGGGAGGUAGUGACAAGAAAUAACAAUACGAGUCUUAAAGUCUUGUAAUUGGAAUGACGGGAAUCUAAAACCUUUCCGGAGUAUCAAUUGGAGGGCAAGUCUGGUGCCAGCAGCCGCGGUAAUUCCAGCUCCAAUAGCGUAUAUUAAAAUUGUUGCAGUUAAAAAGCUCGUAGUUGAAUUUCUGCUGCAUCCGUGUCAUUCCUAACUGGUUUGUCACUGUUGUGGCUUUUUCUGGUGGUUGUGCUUCGGCUAGAUCUCCAGAUUGUUACUUUGAGAAAAUUAGAGUGCUUCAAGCAGGCUUUUGCCUUGAAUACUUUAGCAUGGAAUAACUAAGUAGGACUUUGGUUCUAUUUUGUUGGUUUAAGAGCCAAAGUAAUGAUUAAUAGGAACAG